UCUCUUCUCUUUUCUUUUCUUUUCUGUUUUGUUUUGUUUUUGUUUCUUUUUCAAA
RNAcentral lists this non-coding RNA (55 nucleotides) under Palpitomonas bilix. The record is from RNAcentral.